UUGCUCCUACGGGAGGCAGCAGUAGGGAAUUUUCGUCAAUGGGCGCAAGCCUGAACGAGCAAUGCCGCGUGAACGAGGAAGGUCUUCGGAUCGUAAAGUUCUGUUGAAGGGGAAAAAGAGCGGAGAGAGGAAAUGGUCUCCGAUUGAUAUUACCCUUCGAGGAAGUCACGGCUAACUACGUGCCAGCAGCCGCGGUAAUACGUAGGGAGCGAGCGUUAUCCGGAAUUAUUGGGUGUAAAGGGUGCGUAGACGGGAACUUAAGUUAGUUGUGAAAUCCCU
Molecule: ribosomal RNA, 279 nt
Filed under: uncultured bacterium
Lineage: Bacteria
Description: partial 16S ribosomal RNA
Rfam family: Bacterial small subunit ribosomal RNA
Source: RNAcentral